UACAGAGGUCUCAAGCGUUGUUCGGAUUCAUUGGGCGUAAAGGGUGCGUAGGUGGCGGGGUAAGUCUGGUGUGAAAUCCCGGGGCUCAACCCCGGAACUGCACUGGAUACUGCUUUGCUAGAGUACUGGGGAGGGAACUGGAAUUUACGGUGUAGCAGUGAAAUGCGUAGAUAUCGUAAGGAAGGCCAGUGGCGAAGGCGAGUUCCUGGACAGUUACUGACACUGAGGCACGAAGGCCAGGGGAGCAAACGGG
RNAcentral lists this ribosomal RNA (253 nucleotides) under uncultured bacterium. RNAcentral's name for it is "partial 16S ribosomal RNA". It matches the Rfam family "Bacterial small subunit ribosomal RNA", at positions 524 to 776 of the family's 1533-position model. The record is from RNAcentral.